Molecule: ribosomal RNA, 465 nt
Filed under: uncultured bacterium
Lineage: Bacteria
Description: partial 16S ribosomal RNA
Rfam family: Bacterial small subunit ribosomal RNA
Source: RNAcentral
GACGAACGCUGGCGGCGUGCUUAACACAUGCAAGUCGAACGGAAAGGCCCCUUUGGGGGUACUCGAGUGGCGAACGGGUGAGUAACACGUGAGUAACCUGCCCUUGCCUUCGGGAUAACUUCAGGAAACUGGGGCUAAUACCGGAUAGGAAUCCUUGCUGCAUGGUGGGGGUUGGAAAGCUUCGGCGGUUUUGGAUGGACUCGCGGCUUAUCAGCUUGUUGGUGGGGUAGUGGCUUACCAAGGCUUUGACGGGUAGCCGGCCUGAGAGGGCGACCAGCCACAUUGGGGCUGAGAUACGGCCCAGACUCCUACGGGAGGCAGCAGUGGGGAAUAUUGCACAAUGGGCGGAAGCCUGAUGCAGCAACGCCGCGUGCGGGAUGACGGCCUUCGGGUUGUAAACCGCUUUCAGCAGGGGCGAAGCUUGUGGUGACGGUACCUGCAGAAGAAGCACCGGCUAACUACGUG